RNAcentral lists this ribosomal RNA (520 nucleotides) under uncultured Scutellospora. RNAcentral describes it as "SSU rRNA". It matches the Rfam family "Eukaryotic small subunit ribosomal RNA", at positions 569 to 1092 of the family's 1831-position model. The record is from RNAcentral. Lineage: Eukaryota; Fungi; Glomeromycota; Glomeromycetes; Diversisporales; Gigasporaceae.
AGCAGCCGCGGUAAUUCCAGCUCCAAUAGCGUAUAUUAAAGUUGUUGCAGUUAAAAAGCUCGUAGUUGAAUUUCGGGAUUCUACCGUUGGUCGGGCUAACAAGUCUGUACUGGUGUGUAGAAUUUCUACCUUCUAGGGAACUAUCAUGUUAUUAAUUUAGCGUGGUGGGAAACCAGGACCUUUACCUUGAAAAAAUUAGAGUGUUCAAAGCAGGCUUACGUCUGAAUACAUUAGCAUGGAAUAAUAGAAUAGGACGGUGGUCCUGUUUUGUUGGUUUCUGAAUCACCGUAAUGAUUAAUAGGGAUAGUUGGGGGCAUUAGUAUUCAAUUGUCAGUGGUGAAAUUCUUGGAUUUAUUGAAGACUAACUUCUGCGAAAGCAUUUGCCAAGGAUGUUUUCAUUAAUCAAGAACGAAAGUUAGGGGAUCGAAGACGAUCAGAUACCGUCGUAGUCUUAACCAUAAACUAUGCCGACUAGGGAUCGGACGAUGUUAAAUUUUAUUGACUCGUUCGGCGCCUUACG